RNAcentral lists this ribosomal RNA (474 nucleotides) under uncultured Magnetococcus sp. RNAcentral describes it as "bacterial SSU rRNA". It matches the Rfam family "Bacterial small subunit ribosomal RNA", at positions 80 to 587 of the family's 1533-position model. Lineage: Bacteria; Pseudomonadati; Pseudomonadota; Magnetococcia; Magnetococcales; Magnetococcaceae. The record is from RNAcentral.
CAAGGGUGCUGACGAGUGGCGAACGGGUGAGUAACGCGUGGAUACAUGACUUUUAGUGGGGGACAACAGUUGGAAACGACUGCUAAUACCGCAUACGCCCUACGGGGGAAAGCCGCAAGGCGCUUAAAGAGUGGUCCGCGUCCGAUUAGCUAGUUGGUGGGGUAAAGGCCUACCAAGGCGACGAUCGGUAGCUGGUCUUAGAGGAUGAUCAGCCACACUGGGACUGAGACACGGCCCAGACUCCUACGUGAGGCAGCAGUGGGGAAUAUUGCGCAAUGGGGGAAACCCUGACGCAGCAAUUCCGCGUGGGUGAAGAAGGCCUUCGGGUUGUAAAGCCCUUCUAGCAGGAAAGAUUGUGACGGUACCUGCAGAAAAAGCUCCGGCUAACUCCGUGCCAGCAGCCGCGGUAAUACGGAGGGGGCAAGCGUUGUUCGGAAUUACUGGGUGUAAAGGGCGUGUAGGCGGUUGUACAAG